UACAGAGGAGCCAAGCGUUGUCCGGAUUGACUGGGCGUAAAGCGCACGCAGGCGGUCGAGCGCGUGGGGUGUGAAAUCUGGCCGCUUAACGGCCAGGCGCCAUCCCAUACGGCACGACUGGAGGGCUGCAGAGGUCGAUGGAAUUGCCGGUGUAGUGGUGAAAUGCGUAGAGAUCGGCAGGAACACCCAGGGGGAAACCAGUCGACUGGGCAGCACCUGACGCUGAGGUGCGAGAGCGUGGGGAGCGAACCGG
RNAcentral lists this ribosomal RNA (253 nucleotides) under uncultured bacterium. Its description in RNAcentral is "partial 16S ribosomal RNA". It matches the Rfam family "Bacterial small subunit ribosomal RNA", at positions 524 to 776 of the family's 1533-position model. The record is from RNAcentral.